GGGUAAAAUGGCUGAGCAAAGCAUUAAACUGUAAAUCUAAAGAUAGAGGUUUGUAAUCCUCUUUUUACCA
Molecule: transfer RNA, 70 nt
Filed under: Rangifer tarandus (reindeer)
Lineage: Eukaryota; Metazoa; Chordata; Mammalia; Artiodactyla; Cervidae
Also listed under: 1 other name
Description: transfer RNA Tyr
Rfam family: tRNA
About the family: Transfer RNA (tRNA) molecules are approximately 80 nucleotides in length. Their secondary structure includes four short double-helical elements and three loops (D, anti-codon, and T loops). Further hydrogen bonds mediate the characteristic L-shaped molecular structure. tRNAs have two regions of fundamental functional importance: the anti-codon, which is responsible for specific mRNA codon recognition, and the 3' end, to which the tRNAs corresponding amino acid is attached (by aminoacyl-tRNA synthetases). tRNAs cope with the degeneracy of the genetic code in two manners: having more than one tRNA (with a specific anti-codon) for a particular amino acid; and 'wobble' base-pairing, i.e. permitting non-standard base-pairing at the 3rd anti-codon position.
Source: RNAcentral